RNAcentral lists this ribosomal RNA (468 nucleotides) under uncultured bacterium. Its description in RNAcentral is "partial 16S ribosomal RNA". The stretch from base 13 to 373 matches the Rfam family "Bacterial small subunit ribosomal RNA", at positions 40 to 399 of the family's 1533-position model. The record is from RNAcentral.
GACGAACGCUGGCGGCGUGCUUAACACAUGCAAGUCGAACGGAAAGGCCCUGCUUUUGUGGGGUGCUCGAGUGGCGAACGGGUGAGUAACACGUGAGUAACCUGCCCUUGACUUUGGGAUAACUUCAGGAAACUGGGGCUAAUACCGGAUAGGAGCUCCUGCUGCAUGGUGGGGGUUGGAAAGUUUCGGCGGUUGGGGAUGGACUCGCGGCUUAUCAGCUUGUUGGUGGGGUAGUGGCUUACCAAGGCUUUGACGGGUAGCCGGCCUGAGAGGGUGACCGGGGAAGGGGGGAGUGAGAUAUGGAGAAGAAGGGGACGGGAGGCAAGGGCGGGGAAUAGGGUAGAGGGGGACGAAGUAUGAGGUAGCAACGCCGUGCGCGGGAGGAAGGGAGGAGGGGGGGAAAACGAGUAAGGAGGGGACGAAGAGGGAGGGACGGUAAGGGGGAAAGAAGGACCGGCUAAUGACGUC